Molecule: ribosomal RNA, 301 nt
Filed under: uncultured bacterium
Lineage: Bacteria
Description: partial 16S ribosomal RNA
Rfam family: Bacterial small subunit ribosomal RNA
Source: RNAcentral
CAGUCGCCACGGUAAUACGAAGGGGGCUAGCGUUGUUCGGAUUAACUGGGCGUAAAGGGCGCGUAGGCGGGUUUUUAAGUCAGAGGUGAAAUCCCAAGGCUCAACCUUGGAACUGCCUUUGAUACUGGAAGUCUUGAGUCCGGGAGAGGUGAGUGGAACUGCGAGUGUAGAGGUGAAAUUCGUAGAUAUUCGCAAGAACACCAGUGGCGAAGGCGGCUCACUGGCCCGGUACUGACGCUGAGGCGCGAAAGCGUGGGGAGCAAACAGGAUUAGAUACCCCCGUAGUCCCUGUCUCUUAUAC